CAUUGUCCCUGUAAAAUAAACAAUAAUGCAAAUCCCGUUUAGUCCUUUAUAUUAAUUUAUAAAACAUGAAAAAGUAAUAUAAUCAUCUGUGUCCAAUAAAGGUCCAUUAUCAGUCAUCACCACAUAACGAACUUCUCUCUGAUUGACGAACAUCUUCUUCUCCGACAACGACCACCAUCCCUCCGUCAUGCCGGAGAUCAACACGUUAUUAGAAUCGAUCAAUAUCCACGACCUUCUCGCCGGACACUAACUCAACGAUUCAACGACUCCACUAUCAUAAACCGUCUAGACUCUCACUCCCUCCGUAUCAAGUCCAGUCCUACCUCGUCGGCCACCACUCCGAAUUCUCCAACCUUAUCUUGACCUGCCAAGAAGCCGUCUCCAGGAUCCGUCUGAUCUCCGACGACGUCUCCGAUGCCGUGGAGCUGAUUUCCGACCGUUUGGUUGAUGUCGAGAUUCGGAAAUUGAUCGAUGAGAUAAUGGAGAAGACCAAGGAGGUGAAGCUGAAGAGGGAGUCGCUCGAUCUGGUGAGUGUGAUCGUGGGGAUAUGCUAGGCGUUGUGGGAAGCGAAGGUGGCUGCUGAGAGAGCUGAAGGGAGUGUUGAGGGUUGGUGAAGAGGAAGAAGGAGAGCCUGUGGCUUACGUUUUGCUUAGGAAAGAAUGAUCUCAUUGCUUUGACGAGAUGAGCCAUUUGGGUAUCAUAAAAAUCUAAUCUUUCUUGUGAAACGAGAAGCAAUGUGUUUAAAGUUGUAAGCUUUGUUUUCUUAGGAGGAAGUUUUGUUGUUGUUAGUCUUUCAUCUUUUCUUUUGUUUGUCUAUGUUUGUAGAUGCAAGAGAUGCUUGUGAAAUUGUAUGGAAAGUGCAGUGCGUUUUGAGAUGGAGUCGUGUAAGCUAAGGAUUAGUUAUCAGAAGUGUUGGUCAUUCGAAUGUUAGACUAUGGGCUUGUGAAAGCAGCUGACUCAAUCUUCAAGCAUGUUAUUACUCCAGCUGAACUUAUGCAUCUACUUUUAACGCUGUAGAAGAUUCUUGUAAACCUCAUAGGAUAUAGCCGAAGCGACACUAAAGCUAGAACAGUCCUCAGAUCAUAAGACUGAAGAUGUGGAUGGAGAUGCAAUAUAUUAAGGAAUUCUUAAGGUUGUUAAAUUCAUUUGCAGUUGACAUUCUUGCUUUAAAUCUUAAUGGACAAUUUUAACAAAGUACCAUGUUUGGCCAUGAGAAAAUAGCCUUUGUUGAUUCUGACCAUGGAUGUGGAAUGUUUCAUGAAUAUUCAUCUUGUCAUCUUUGCAUCUUCUCCAUAUAGUUUUGUAGACAAACAUAAUAUGACAAGAAAAAAAUUCAAGACUCCUCAACUGAUAUCAACCCUCAUGGAUCUGAUCCGUUGAACUAGUUUGUAAUAUUAAUUUUCAUUGUAAAAACAACUAAUAAAUGGUUUCGUG
Molecule: long non-coding RNA, 1434 nt
Organism: Raphanus sativus (radish)
Lineage: Eukaryota; Viridiplantae; Streptophyta; Magnoliopsida; Brassicales; Brassicaceae
Exons: 3
Source: RefSeq, a predicted model, not a curated record